UGAAACCAGGGAUAGAUACCCUGUUAUACUAAAUUAAAAUUAAGUCGCUUGAGUAGUAAAUAGUUAUAUUCUCGAAACUUAAAGGAUUUGGCGGUAUCUUAGUCUUGUUAGAGGAAUCUGUUCUAUAAACGAUAAACCACGAAUUAUCUUACUCUUUUUCGUAAAACAGUUUGUAUACCGCCAUUAUUAGAUGGUUUUUACAAAAAUCCAUUUAAAUAACUUACGAGUUAAUAUAUUAGGUCAAGGUGCAGCCUAUAGAAGAGCAAGCAAUGGAUUACAAUGAAAUAAGUGUAAGACGGAUCAACGAAGGAAGCUUUGUUUUAAAGGUGGAUUUAAUUGUAAUACUUGUUUAAUAAGCAAGUUUGAUAGGGGCUCUAAGAUAUGUACACAUCGCCCGUCG
This 400-nucleotide ribosomal RNA is filed under the name Plesionika reflexa. RNAcentral describes it as "partial 12S ribosomal RNA". The stretch from base 51 to 400 matches the Rfam family "Microsporidia small subunit ribosomal RNA", at positions 752 to 1201 of the family's 1311-position model. The record is from RNAcentral. Lineage: Eukaryota; Metazoa; Arthropoda; Malacostraca; Decapoda; Pandalidae.